UUCAGCAGACCUCAUGGCAUACUCAGCACGAGAGCAUGCAAUCCACGAGGCUUGGAGACACUCCGAGCGGUCCAACGAACUGUCGAAAGAGGCUGCUGAGCUCGCCCUACAGUCCGCCUACGAGUCGGCCGAGGCCCGUCGUUUAUUGGACGAGCAUGACAUCAUCGCGAUCGAAAA
This 177-nucleotide small RNA is filed under the name Crypthecodinium cohnii. RNAcentral describes it as "partial Cyanobacteria transfer-messenger RNA". Lineage: Eukaryota; Dinophyceae; Gonyaulacales; Crypthecodiniaceae. The record is from RNAcentral.